RNAcentral lists this ribosomal RNA (406 nucleotides) under uncultured bacterium. Its description in RNAcentral is "bacterial SSU rRNA". It matches the Rfam family "Bacterial small subunit ribosomal RNA", at positions 29 to 417 of the family's 1533-position model. The record is from RNAcentral.
AACGAACGCUGGCGGCGUGCCUAACACAUGCAAGUCGUGCGAGAAAGUUCCUUCGGGAGCGAGUAAAGCGGCGCACGGGUGAGUAACACGUAGGUAACCUGCCCCCCCAGUCUGGAACAACUAGAGGAAACUCUAGCUAAUGCCGGAUGAGACCACGAUCCCUUCGGGGGUUGCGGCCAAAGAUGGCCUCUACUUGUAAGCUAUCGCUGAGGGAUGGGCCUGCGGGCCAUUAGCUUGUUGGUGAGGUAACGGCUCACCAAGGCUGUGAUGGCUAGCUGGUCUGAGAGGAUGACCAGCCACACUGGGACUGAGACACGGCCCAGACUCCUACGGAAGGCAGCAGUGGGGAAUAUUGCGCAAUGGGCGAAAGCCUGACGCAGCGACGCCGCGUGGGUGAUGAAGGCCU